CGCUGAGUUUGAUCCUGGCUCAGGAUGAACGCUAGCGGCAGGCUUAACACAUGCAAGUCGAGGGGUAUAGUUCUUCGGAGCUAGAGACCGGCGCACGGGUGCGUAACGCGUAUGCAAUCUACCUUUUACAGAGGGAUAGCCCAGAGAAAUUUGGAUUAAUACCUCAUAGUAUGUGAGAAUCGCAUGGUUUUUCAACAUUAAAAGUUUCCAACGGUAAAAGAUGAGCAUGCGUCCCAUUAGCUAGAUGGUAAGGUAACGGCUUA
This 263-nucleotide ribosomal RNA is filed under the name uncultured Flavobacteriaceae bacterium. RNAcentral describes it as "partial 16S ribosomal RNA". It matches the Rfam family "Bacterial small subunit ribosomal RNA", at positions 1 to 267 of the family's 1533-position model. The record is from RNAcentral. Lineage: Bacteria; Pseudomonadati; Bacteroidota; Flavobacteriia; Flavobacteriales; Flavobacteriaceae.